Molecule: long non-coding RNA, 614 nt
Filed under: Homo sapiens (human)
Lineage: Eukaryota; Metazoa; Chordata; Mammalia; Primates; Hominidae
Description: HSALNT0139164
Source: RNAcentral
UACAAACCAUAGAACACCAAAGAUUGUCAGAAAAUCAGCAGAGGUUACUAGAGAAGCGUGGACUCAAUUACCUUUUACAGCUUUCAAGAAGGAGCCAGCCGUGCCAACAUCUUGACUUUUAGCUUCCAGAAUUGCUGUUGCGGGACCAGCCACUGCCAGGGUCACUUCUGUUCUUGUGUUCAGCUCCAGUCACCCGCACCAGUGACCUCUUCUCUGAAGUAAGUUACAGGAUAUCAAAGGAGGAGAGUGAACAUCAUCCAAGGAUUUGGAGUCCUCUUCUGGGAAAAAGAUAUUGUCUUAGAAGCAUCAACCAAUUUGAAAUCCUGAUUGUAGCAAAGCAACCACAGGUAACCAAAGAACAAGAAGAGGGAGAGCAAUGGUUGUUGGACUUACUGGGACACACGAAACCCUUCGUUUUCCUCAGGACCUGGAUGGAAUAAGAAAUCCUGAGGGUUUGCUGAAAAACAAAACUGUCAUUUUUCACAUCAGCAUCAGUUUGCAACCUUUGACUCUGCUGCUAUUUUUCACUGCACACUAGCUACAAUGGGCUGGUUCACUGUUUCGCAUCCUCUGUUUCAUUACUUGUGGGUGUAUUUUUCAACAUUUUUUCCCUG